RNAcentral lists this ribosomal RNA (253 nucleotides) under uncultured bacterium. RNAcentral describes it as "partial 16S ribosomal RNA". It matches the Rfam family "Bacterial small subunit ribosomal RNA", at positions 524 to 776 of the family's 1533-position model. The record is from RNAcentral.
UACGUAGGCAGCGAGCGUUGUUCGGAGUUACUGGGCGUAAAGGGUGUGUAGGCGGUUUUCUAAGUUUGGUGUGAAAUCUCCCGGCUCAACCGGGAGGGUGCGCCGAAAACUGGGAGACUAGAGUGCGGGAUGGGAGAGUAGAAUUCCUGGUGUAGCGGUGAAAUGCGUAGAUAUCAGGAGGAAUACCGGUGGGGUAGACGGCUCUCUGGGCCGCCACUGACGCUGAGACACGAAAGCGUGGGUAGCAAACAGG